CCUACGGGAGGCUGCAGUGAGGAAUAUUGGUCAAUGGGCGCGAGCCUGAACCAGCCAAGUAGCGUGAAGGAUGACUGCCCUACGGGUUGUAAACUUCUUUUAUAAAGGAAUACAGUGAGGCACGUGUGCCUUUUUGUAUGUACUUUAUGAAUAAGGAUCGGCUAACUCCGUGCCAGCAGCCGCGGUAAUACGGAGGGUCCGAGCGUUCUCCGGAUUUAUUGGGUUUAAAGGGAGCGUAGGUGGGUUGUUAAGUCAGGUGGGAAAGUUUGCGGGUCAACCGUAAAAUUGCUAUUGAUACUGGGAGUCUUGAGUACAGUAGAGGUAGGCGGAAUUCGUGGUGUAGCGGUGAAAUGCUUAGAUAUCACGAAGAACUCCGAUUGCGAAGGCAGCUUACUAAACUGCAACUGACAUUGAUGCUCGAAAGUGUGGGUAUCAAACAGGAUUAGAGACCCCUGUAGUC
RNAcentral lists this ribosomal RNA (460 nucleotides) under uncultured bacterium. RNAcentral's name for it is "partial 16S ribosomal RNA". It matches the Rfam family "Bacterial small subunit ribosomal RNA", at positions 338 to 795 of the family's 1533-position model. The record is from RNAcentral.